This 399-nucleotide ribosomal RNA is filed under the name uncultured bacterium. Its description in RNAcentral is "bacterial SSU rRNA". It matches the Rfam family "Bacterial small subunit ribosomal RNA", at positions 28 to 429 of the family's 1533-position model. The record is from RNAcentral.
GAUAAACGCUGGCGGCGUGCAUGAGACAUGCAAGUCGAACGGACGAUCGAGGCUUGCUUCGAUCGUUAGUGGCGGACGGCUGAGUAACGCGUAGGUGACCUGCCCCGAAGUGGGGAAUAACUGCCCGAAACGGGUGGCUAAUACCGCAUGUGGUGGUGUGUUCAAUCACACCAGUAAAGCCGCAAGGCGCUUCGGGAGGGGCCUGCGUCCGAUUAGCUCGUUGGUGGGGUAACGGCNCACCAAGGCGACGAUCGGUAGGUGGUCUGAGAGGACGAUCACCCAGACUGGGACUGAGACACGGCCCAGACUCCUACGGGAGGCAGCAGUCGGGAAUUUUGCGCAAUGGACGAAAGUCUGACGCAGCAACGCCGCGUGAGGGAUGACGGCCUCGGUUGUAAC